AGAGUUUGAUCAUGGCUCAGAUUGAACGCUGGCGGCAGGCCUAACACAUGCAAGUCGAACGGUAACAGGAAGCAGCUUGCUGCUUCGCUGACGAGUGGCGGACGGGUGAGUAAUGUCUGGGAAACUGCCUGAUGGAGGGGGAUAACUACUGGAAACGGUGGCUAAUACCGCAUAACGUCGCAAGACCAAAGAGGGGGACCUUCGGGCCUCUUGCCAUCAGAUGUGCCCAGAUGGGAUUAGCUUGUUGGUGAGGUAACGGCUCACCAAGGCGACGAUCCCUAGCUGGUCUGAGAGGAUGACCAGCCACACUGGAACUGAGACACGGUCCAGACUCCUACGGGAGGCAGCAGUGGGGAAUAUUGCACAAUGGGCGCAAGCCUGAUGCAGCCAUGCCGCGUGUAUGAAGAAGGCCUUCGGGUUGUAAAGUACUUUCAGCGGGGAGGAAGGUGUUGUGGUUAAUAACCGCAGCAAUUGACGUUACCCGCAGAAGAAGCACCGGCUAACUCCGUGCCAGCAGCCGCGGUAAUACGGAGGGUGCAAGCGUUAAUCGGAAUUACUGGGCGUAAAGCGCACGCAGGCGGUCUGUCAAGUCGGAUGUGAAAUCCCCGGGCUCAACCUGGGAACUGCAUUCGAAACUGGCAGGCUUGAGUCUUGUAGAGGGGGGUAGAAUUCCAGGUGUAGCGGUGAAAUGCGUAGAGAUCUGGAGGAAUACCGGUGGCGAAGGCGGCCCCCUGGACAAAGACUGACGCUCAGGUGCGAAAGCGUGGGGAGCAAACAGGAUUAGAUACCCUGGUAGUCCACGCCGUAAACGAUGUCUACUUGGAGGUUGUGCCCUUGAGGCGUGGCUUCCGGAGCUAACGCGUUAAGUAGACCGCCUGGGGAGUACGGCCGCAAGGUUAAAACUCAAAUGAAUUGACGGGGGCCCGCACAAGCGGUGGAGCAUGUGGUUUAAUUCGAUGCAACGCGAAGAACCUUACCUGGUCUUGACAUCCACAGAACUUUCCAGAGAUGGACUGGUGCCUUCGGGAACUGUGAGACAGGUGCUGCAUGGCUGUCGUCAGCUCGUGUUGUGAAAUGUUGGGUUAAGUCCCGCAACGAGCGCAACCCUUAUCCUUUGUUGCCAGCGGUCCGGCCGGGAACUCAAAGGAGACUGCCAGUGAUAAACUGGAGGAAGGUGGGGAUGACGUCAAGUCAUCAUGGCCCUUACGACCAGGGCUACACACGUGCUACAAUGGCGCAUACAAAGAGAAGCGACCUCGCGAGAGCAAGCGGACCUCAUAAAGUGCGUCGUAGUCCGGAUUGGAGUCUGCAACUCGACUCCAUGAAGUCGGAAUCGCUAGUAAUCGUGGAUCAGAAUGCCACGGUGAAUACGUUCCCGGGCCUUGUACACACCGCCCGUCACACCAUGGGAGUGGGUUGCAAAAGAAGUAGGUAGCUUAACCUUCGGGAGGGCGCUUACCACUUUGUGAUUCAUGACUGGGGUGAAGUCGUAACAAGGUAACCGUAGGGGAACCUGCGGUUGGAUCACCU
This 1530-nucleotide ribosomal RNA is filed under the name Salmonella enterica subsp. enterica. Its description in RNAcentral is "bacterial SSU rRNA". It matches the Rfam family "Bacterial small subunit ribosomal RNA". The record is from RNAcentral. Lineage: Bacteria; Pseudomonadati; Pseudomonadota; Gammaproteobacteria; Enterobacterales; Enterobacteriaceae.